Molecule: ribosomal RNA, 440 nt
Filed under: uncultured bacterium
Lineage: Bacteria
Description: partial 16S ribosomal RNA
Rfam family: Bacterial small subunit ribosomal RNA
Source: RNAcentral
CCUACGGGAGGCAGCAGUGGGGAAUAUUGCACAAUGGGGGAAACCCUGAUGCAGCGACGCCGCGUGAGUGAAGAAGUAAUUCGUUAUGUAAAGCUCUAUCAGCAGGGAAGAAAAUGACGGUACCUGAGUAAGAAGCCCCGGCUAACUACGUGCCAGCAGCCGCGGUAAUACGUAGGGGGCAAGCGUUAUCCGGAUUUACUGGGUGGAAAGGGAGCGUAGACGGCAGUGCAAGUCUGGAGUGAAAGGCGGGGGCUCAACCCCCGGACUGCUCUGGAAACUGUACGGCUGGAGUGCAGGAGAGGUAAGUGGAAUUCCUAGUGUAGCGGGGAAAUGCGUAGAUAUUAGGAGGAACACCAGUGGCGAAGGCGGCUUACUGGACUGUAACUGACGUUGAGGCUCGAAAGCGUGGGGAGCAAACAGGAUUAGAUACCCCUGUAGUC